AAGGUUAUCUGUGAAGUGUGAGGAGGGAAUUCACAGCCCAGCGGCGCUUCGGUUGAAAACACUCUCUACAGUCUUCAAGAGCUCAGAUGACGUCACACUGCAUUUGAUGUCACACUGGAGACACUGAACAUCUUCAUCUUGGCCGGGAGUGUGUUUGUGAGACAGACCGAAGAGAUAGGACGGAUAAAAGCGAGCACCUGGACCUGACAUCACAUCUCCAGCGAUUGUGUUGGAAACGUCACCCGGUCACGACGAGUUUAGCUGGAUGUUAAAUGGCGUUGGCGAUCCAAUGGAAACAUCAGUCUGGAAGGAGUUGACCUGUGGUCACCAAUCACCAAUCCUGACGUCUGCUUCUAUUCGUUUUUCCAGUCGACUACAUUUUGGUGUGCGUAUUAAUCAAAACAACCUCGCUAUUGCUCAUCCUACAGCGUUUGUGCUCCAGACGUAAUUGAUUUUUCAAAACAUCUUGUUGAGGAGAGUGUGUUGAUACUUUUCUAAGUAAUUAGACACACCAUUUUCACCUGCUGAGCCAUAAAACAGGUUAAAAAAAUCACACAGCCUAGCAACUGCAAGGCAACCAUCUAUCAACCACAAAAGUGUGCUUAAAACCACUCUGAAAAAGCUUGUAUUUUGACACCCAUCUCAGGGCAUUUUAAAGUAAUGUUAGCUCUUGCAGCCUUGAAGAUGUACUUGCAAAGCUUGUGUUUUAAAUAACUCAUGUUUCCUGUAAGAUAAACUUUUAAGAUGUUCCUCAAAGGACUUUUCGAAUGAUGCAUUGCCUCAAAAUGCUUCCCUCCCUGCAAAAAUGUUUACAGAGAAGUAUUUAUUCUAGUGCUGAAAAGACACUUCCUUUACAAAUCCUUCUUCCUUCUCAGUAUGAUCUUAACGGUUGGGGAGACAGGCAGCUGGGUAGUAACUGAUUACAUGUAAUUAUUUAGAUUUAGAUAUAAUUAGAUUACAUUACUUGUAUUAGAUUAUAUUACAUUUUAAAAUACUUGUAAUCAGAUUACAGUUACUUUUAUAGUGAUAUUAUGAUUACAUACUA
This is a long non-coding RNA of Labeo rohita (rohu), 1045 nucleotides long. RefSeq lists it as uncharacterized. The record is from RefSeq and is a predicted model, not a curated record. The transcript is spliced from 4 exons. NCBI's taxonomy places the organism in Eukaryota, Metazoa, Chordata, Actinopteri, Cypriniformes, Cyprinidae.